This 1389-nucleotide ribosomal RNA is filed under the name Paralvinella hessleri. Its description in RNAcentral is "16S ribosomal RNA". It matches the Rfam family "Bacterial large subunit ribosomal RNA", at positions 580 to 2767 of the family's 2925-position model. Lineage: Eukaryota; Metazoa; Annelida; Polychaeta; Terebellida; Alvinellidae. The record is from RNAcentral.
UAUAUAUCUAACCUAUUUAACCCCGACCUCAGUAAUAAGACAAUAAAAGCAAAUCUCAUGUUCUCAUCUCACCACUCCACAUUACCAAAUACACUAGUACCGCAAGGGACAUAGCACAAUUACUAAACAACCAAAAUAACGCUUUGUACUUUUUGCAUCACGGCUUAGCAAAAACUAAUCAUAUCAGAUCUAUCCCGAAACCCUGUGAGCUGAACUAAUCUUGCUCAGCGCGAAGCAUUUUAUGUUGCAACAUAUUUGCAAAAGAUUAGCCCAGUGGCUACAUACCUUUCGCACAGGGUGAUAGCUGGUUUUCUGUGAACCCUGCAUUAGCAGGGCAAAAAAGCUAUUCAAAACUUUUUAUGCUCAAACAAGGAGGCCAAGCUCCCUUUUUUACCCUAUAUUCCUAAUAAAGCAAACGACUUAUAAGUAGGCCUUAUAGCAGCCACCUUUUAUGCAGUGCGUUACCGCAGCAAAGUCACCCCAUGCACAAAUUUCUAACUCGUCAACAUGGGCAAACCAACAGAAACUAGCCAUAAACUAAAAACCAGGCAAAUUAUUCUGCUAAGACUAGUACCCUUAUAUCCAUCUAUUCUCUUUCAUAAAACAAGUGCAAACCCCUAUUCAACUAAACAACCAAUAAAAUACUAGGAAGGAACUCGGCAAACAAGAACUCCGACUGUUUACCAAAAACACUGCCUCACGAAAACAAAAAUGAGAGGUCCAUCCUGCCCGGUGACCUACGGGUUAAACGGCCGCGGUACCCUGACCGUGCUAAGGUAGCGUGAUAAUUCGCCCUUUAAUUGUGGGCUUGUAUGAAAGGACAAACGAGAGUUCAACUGUCUCCCUAGUAGAACAGAAAUCUGUCAUUCAGGUGAAGAGACCUGAGUUUAAAUAAAGGACAAAAAGACCCCAUAGAGCUUUGUUAGAUACCGAUUAACUAUAGAAUACUCCUAUAUCUAUAGCUAACCGACAACUAACUUAACUGGGGCGGUUAAGGAAAAUCCAAAACUUCCGUCUAUAGUUCUAACAUGCACACCUAGGCAAGACAAGCCAAACCUAUAAAUGAUCCUUAUUCAAAGAUCAAAGGAUUAGCUACCUUGGGGAUAACAGAUUCAUCCCCCUUAAGAGUCCGCAUUGACAGGGGGGCUUGACACCUCGAUGUUGGCUUAGGAUAACCUGAGGGUCUAGCAGCAGCCCUCAACGGUAGGUUUGUUCAACCUUUAAAAUCCUACAUGAGCUGAGUUCAGACCGGCGUAAGCUAGGUCAGCUUCUAUCCUUAUUUAACCCAUCCCAGGCGUUACAAUUGUACGAAAGGACCUUGUUUCAAAAUAUUCUUUUCAUGGCCGAAACCAAUCCAGGCACCCUUCUCCUUCUCCCAAACCAGGAUAC